Molecule: long non-coding RNA, 1665 nt
Organism: Castor canadensis (American beaver)
Lineage: Eukaryota; Metazoa; Chordata; Mammalia; Rodentia; Castoridae
Source: Ensembl
GUUCUCCUCCAGCAAGAACUGCAGAACAAUCUACUAGUUACGAUGACUCUGAAGCUGAGUAAGAAGCUGUGUGCGUGUGCGUGUGUCUCCACUGUGUGGCGUUGUGAGCCUGCCUGCACGUGAGUGUGCAUGUGUGCGGUGUGUGUGUAGUCUUGUGGUAGCUGCAGAAAUUGUGCAUGCGUGUGUUUGUUUCUGGGCGUGUCUCAGUGUUUACCCCAGAAAUAGAUAGGAACUUCGCCAAGGCUGCACUGCAAAUUCGUAUUCAAACUCGUCCCUUGGGAAUCGCAGGCAGCACUCCCGGGUUUAGCAGUAGGGCUUGAGGAGUGAUAUCCUGUGAGGAGCUGGCAAAAACAAUCUUUGUCGGAGGGACUCCUGGAGUCUUCUAGAACUCGGAGCCCAAGGGGUCCUUUCCCCCACCUCCUCCCAUCACUGUCACGCGACCUCUAAGGCGUUCCCACCGCUAACCUAGGAGUUCCAGACAGUCGCUAGCUCCCGGGCUGCUUUCCAGGGUCCUCCACUGGAAGGAGCGCAGAGCCCAGUGGCAUUUGUUUCUUCAAAGUCCCGGGGGAGUCCAGUUCCUGGUGGCCCCAAACUCCAGCCCUGAGAACGUUUGAGUAUGAGAGCCAAACAAUUUAGGAUGGCACGUCUCUGUUUGAUACUAGGUAACUUUUGGGAGAAAAGUUGAUCAUUUUUGAGAAGGAUAGAGUCAGUGGGGGUCAGCCUCCCCUCCAGCUGGCUCUAGGGCCUGGAGCCCAGUACUGCCCUCCAAAGGACGUGCUUCCUCACCCUGCACAGAAGGCACACAUGUUCACCCCACUUUCUUCCUCUUCCUCCUCCAGCCCACUUUCUCUUCUCUGUGUCGUCAGAGCUCCAGGGAGGGACCUGGGUAGACAGAGAAGCCGGAAACAGCAGGCUGGGCAGCCAGGGCUUACACCGAAGAGGAAGGCCGGGAGAGGAGAGAGAGAGAGAGAGAAAAGAGAGUGAGAGUGUGUGUGUGUGUGUGUGUGUGUGUGUGUGUGUAUGUGUGUGUGUUGCUUUUCUUUUUGGUGGUGGUGGCAGAGGGAGUAGGGCCAGCCCUGAACUCGUUGGACAGAGCUACAGACCCAUGGGGCCUGGCAGUGCCCGCUGAGAGGGAGAAGACGGCAAAGGGCUUGCCGAGCCUUCUAGCCCUCUGGCUUCCUCACCUGCUCUUCUACACUCCUCACUCCAGGCCAGUGAAUCCCAUUAUUUCUCUAGUCUUGCCCUCUUCCUUUCAUCUCUACUUUUCUCUUUUCUCCAUCUCCUCACACCCUUCCCCUCUUCUUAGGAUGAUGGGACUUGGAUCAGACAGUACAGUAUGGUGGUUAAUCCCCACUCCUAUUCAGAGCCUGACUUCCAACUCACUUGCCCAGUGGCCUUGGGCAAGUUAGAGAACCAUUUUAGUCUUAGUUUCUUCAUCUGUGAAGGAGCAUAAGUACAUAUUUUAAAAAUUAUUGCUGGGGAUCUAGCUCAGUGGUAGACCACUUGCCUAGCAUGCAUAAGGCCCUAGGUUCUGUCACUAGCACUACACAGACACACAAAAAUUGUUGUGAGGUUCCAAUGAAAUAAUAUAUUGAGUGGAGUGGAAUACCUCCCAUAGAGUAUGUACAGAAUAAAUAGUUGCUAUUAUCACUAUAUCUUCUUCUU